AUUGAACGCUGGCGGCAGGCCUAACACAUGCAAGUCGAGCGAGUGGCGGACGGGUGAGAAAUGUGUGGGAAUCUGCCCGAUAGAGGGGGAUAACCACUGGAAACGGUGGCUAAUACCGCAAACUAUCAGGUGAACCCAUAUGGGAUUAGCUUGUAGGUGGGGUAAAGGCUCACCUAGGCGACGAUCUCUAGCUGGUCUGAGAGGAUGAACAGCCACACUGGAACUGAGAAACGGCCCAGACUCCUACGGGAGGCAGCAUUGGGGAAUAUUGCACAAUGGGCGCAAGCCUGAUGCAGCAAUGCCGCGUGUAUGAAGAAGGCCUUAGGGUUGUAAAGUACUUUCAGCGGGGAGGCGUUACCCGCAGAAGAAGCACCGGCUAACUCCGUGCCAGCAGCCGCGGUAAUAC
RNAcentral lists this ribosomal RNA (406 nucleotides) under uncultured bacterium. RNAcentral describes it as "partial 16S ribosomal RNA". It matches the Rfam family "Bacterial small subunit ribosomal RNA", at positions 30 to 526 of the family's 1533-position model. The record is from RNAcentral.